RNAcentral lists this ribosomal RNA (266 nucleotides) under uncultured bacterium. RNAcentral's name for it is "partial 16S ribosomal RNA". It matches the Rfam family "Bacterial small subunit ribosomal RNA", at positions 87 to 354 of the family's 1533-position model. The record is from RNAcentral.
CUGUCUUAGUGGCGGACGGGUGAGUAACGCGUGGGCAACCUGCCCUGUACCGGGGGAUAACACUUAGAAAUAGGUGCUAAUACCGCAUAAUAGGGAAUACCGCAUGGUAAUCCUUUGAAAACUCCGGUGGUACAGGAUGGGCCCGCGUCUGAUUAGCCAGUUGGCGGGGUAACGGCCCACCAAAGCGACGAUCAGCAGCCGGCCUGAGAGGGCGGACGGCCACACUGGGACUGAGACACGGCCCAGACUCCUACGGGAGGCAGCAG